This is a non-coding RNA of Oryza sativa Japonica Group (Japanese rice), 2115 nucleotides long. NCBI's taxonomy places the organism in Eukaryota, Viridiplantae, Streptophyta, Magnoliopsida, Poales, Poaceae. The record is from RefSeq and is a predicted model, not a curated record.
CCAGCCCAACUCGACCAGAAACGAACCGCUAAUGCCGACCUCGACGAUGACGGCGACACCUGGGCGGCUGCCGCGGCCGCAGGGCUCGUCGUCGGCGGUGCCGCGGCCGAGAGGCCUUCCCGGCGUAUCCGUGCUCCUCCUCCCCGACAAGGCAAUGGACGCCGGAGAGGAUAUGCCUCCAGUUGCCGAGGAGCCCACGCUGCGUCGUUCCGACAAGGUUGCAUGCUAGUCAUCGACUUUUUCUUUUCAUAGUAGUAAAUCAUUACAGCUAUGAGAAGAGAAGAGGUUGAGGCAACUCCACAUUAAUGAUCUUAGCACCUUAAGAUAAACUUGGUGAACAAAGUCAUCAUAACUUCCAGUACUUGUAUCCCGGCUUGUGUCAAAUGCUACAUAUUCAUAAGUUACUGACAGGGGGAUAACACUCCGAUAGGGAACACGUGCAUCAAUGUCUUGGAGAGCAUCUACAAGAUAUGUGUUGCACGAACGAAAUAUGGAAGACUGGCAGAGUAAAGAGAUGGGCUUGUUGCUGUGAAGGAUAUUACAGGGACCUGACUUCUAUUUCCAAGAUCUGAUACAAAUGAAGCUUGUGAGGAUGUCUGAGGGCCUAUGAUAAUUUGUACAUUGUGAUUCUCCAGAAGAUCAAGAGCUGCAGCAUAGAUCAACAAGUUGUAAUUAAUGAUCAUACAAGCAGGAAAAAUUGCUGAUCCCCUAAAAAUAAAAGAAAGAAAUUCCUGGGUUAGAGUGGCAAUGCAUUAUUGCAUUUCAGAUGUUCUUGAGCCAUUGAGUGUUGCAUGCACAAAAAUAUUUAAGGCAGCUGGAAGAUUGUGAUGGGCUGGUUGUCGUGAAGGAAAGAUUGGCCUAGAAAUUUUAUUUUAGUGAUCUUGAGAUAAAUACAGGUCGUGAAGUUCUCUGGGAUCACUACAUUAGUAUUACGGUUCUCGAUCAGAUCAAGGACUGCAGAAUUGCAUACUCAUUUUAACUUUGGUCAAAUAUCGUAUGGAGAAAUCUGAAAUACUUGGCAUCAAAUCUUUGGUCCAGGAACAUGACAAUCUUCUCCCUCAAGGAAAAGGUAACAUAACAGCUACAGAUUCAGGGCUGACAAAAGCAUCACAUAUCUUGCACAUGUUGCCAAACUAUAUCACCUAAUACCUGUAAUGAACAAGAGCAAUUUACUCAUGACAGAAGCCCAAAACUCAUGGGCUUGAGAUGCAGUUUAGACAUAAUCACUCAUGGAAACCCAAAUUAUUUUGCUGACCAAGGAAUUCAUGUGCUCUUUGUCUAGUGAAAUUUUGGGUGGCCGUAAAGUUAAUUGACGUCAAGAGGAGCAGGAUAGUUCCAUGCUGAAUGCAUGGCUUCAGCUUUGGGAAUAAGAAGUCCUGUAGACUGAUCCCCAACCAGUGUGAAAUUUGUCUGUUGUUGGUGCAAAGAAAAAAUCAGAAGCAAACAGUGUUUGUGUGUGCCGCGUAGAAAUCAUCCAGCGCCAUCAAAAUACUGGUCCGUGCUAUUUUCCCCACCAUUGUUUGAAGGUCAAGGAUCACUCCAACUGGGAACCCAUCUACUACCCCAGUUUUGUUAGCAUUUUGGGCUACAGUGAAAUGGACAAGGAGUAACAGGAACAGUAUGGUUUGAGGUGCUCUCUCCAUUACCAGUGCUGUGGCUGUGGAAUGUUUGUGAAAGACUUUGCCUCCCAAGGCCUUACACUCUUAUAAGGCUAGGGGCUUGAGGAAUUCAAACAGUAAGGCUAGCUUAAUUUAAACUUUACGCGUGAAAUAAUGUAGUGCCAUAGGUGUUAUUUUACUCUAUUUCAGUUGUAUUUUUGGAACCCUUGAAGGUCAAAUGAUGUGUCCAUAGCCAUGCAGUGCACCAUUAUGCAGCUCUGCAUUUCUGCAAGCUACUGACAGUACUACAGCACUAAGCAAUAGGCAAUAGUUACUUGCACAGAUGCAAGCAAUCUUUCGUUAGAUCAAUUGAGACUUUGAGAGAGUAGCAGUUGUUUAUGUAAGUUUCAAAGCAGUUGCCUUCUUUCCUGAAGAAACUGAUUUGUGCAGGAGGUUUCUGUAGCUUAUUUAAAAGCCAAUUGAUGGGAUCCUUCCGGAACUGCUUUCAGUUCAUAAA